AUACGGAGGUGGUUAGCGUUGUUCGGAAUUACUGGGCGUAAAGCGCACGUAGGCGGACUGAUCAGUUAGAGGUGAAAUCCCAGGGCUCAACCCUGGAACUGCCUUUAAUACUGUCAGUCUAGAGAUCGAGAGAGGUGAGUGGAAUUCCAAGUGUAGAGGUGAAAUUCGUAGAUAUUUGGAGGAACACCAGUGGCGAAGGCGGCUCACUGGCUCGAUACUGACGCUGAGGUGCGAAAGCGUGGGGAGCAAACAGGAUUAGAAACCCUAGUAGUCC
RNAcentral lists this ribosomal RNA (274 nucleotides) under uncultured bacterium. RNAcentral describes it as "partial 16S ribosomal RNA". It matches the Rfam family "Bacterial small subunit ribosomal RNA", at positions 523 to 796 of the family's 1533-position model. The record is from RNAcentral.